UACGUAGGGGGCAAGCGUUGUCCGGAAUCAUUGGGCGUAAAGAGCGUGUAGGCGGUCCGGUAAGUCGGCUGUGAAAGUCCAGGGCUCAACCCUGGGAUGCCGGUCGAUACUGCCGGACUAGAGUCCGGAAGAGGCAAGUGGAAUUCCCGGUGUAGCGGUGAAAUGCGCAGAUAUCAGGAGGAACACCGGUGGCGAAGGCGGGAUCCUGGGCCAGUACUGACGCUGAGGAGCGAAAGCGUGGGGAGCAAACAGG
RNAcentral lists this ribosomal RNA (253 nucleotides) under uncultured bacterium. Its description in RNAcentral is "partial 16S ribosomal RNA". It matches the Rfam family "Bacterial small subunit ribosomal RNA", at positions 524 to 776 of the family's 1533-position model. The record is from RNAcentral.